AGAGUUUGAUCCUGGCUCAGAACGAACGCUGGCGGCAGGCCUAAUACAUGCAAGUCGAGCGCACCUUCGGGUGAGCGGCGGACGGGUGAGUAACACGUGGGAAUAUGCCCUUCACUAUGGAAUAGCCUCGGGAAACUGAGAGUAAUACCAUAUACGCCCUUCGGGGGAAAGAUUUAUCGGUGAAGGAUUAGCCCGCGCCUGAUUAGGUAGUUGGUGGGGUAAUGGCCUACCAAGCCUACGAUCAGUAGCUGGUUUGAGAGGAUGAUCAGCCACACUGGGACUGAGACACGGCCCAGACUCCUACGGGAGGCAGCAGUAGGGAAUCUUAGACAAUGGGCGCAAGCCUGAUCUAGCCAUGCCGCGUGUGUGACGAAGGCCCUAGGGUCGUAAAGCACUUUCGCCAGAGAUGAUAAUGACAGUAUCUGGUAAAGAAACCCCGGCUAACUCCGUGCCAGCAGCCGCGGUAAUACGGAGGGGGUUAGCGUUGUUCGGAAUUACUGGGCGAAAAGCGUACGUAGGCGGAUUAGUCAGUCAGAGGUGAAAUCCCAGGGCUCAACCCUGGAACUGCCUUUGAUACUGCUAGUCUUGAGUUCGAGAGAGGUGAGUGGAAUUCCGAGUGUAGAGGUGAAAUUCGUAGAUAUUCGGAGGAACACCAGUGGCGAAGGCGGCUCACUGGCUCGAUACUGACGCUGAGGUACGAAAGUGUGGGGAGCAAACAGGAUUAGAUACCCUGGUAGUCCACACCGUAAACGAUGAAUGCCAGUCGUCGGCAAGCAUGCUUGUCGGUGACACACCUAACGGAUUAAGCAUUCCGCCUGGGGAGUACGGUCGCAAGAUUAAAACUCAAAGGAAUUGACGGGGGCCCGCACAAGCGGUGGAGCAUGUGGUUUUAUUCGAAGCAACGCGCAGAACCUUACCAACCCUUGACAUCCUUGUCGCGGUUACCAGAGAUGGUUUCCUUCAGUUCGGCUGGACAAGUGACAGGUGCUGCAUGGCUGUCGUCAGCUCGUGUCGUGAGAUGUUCGGUUAAGUCCGGCAACGAGCGCAACCCACAUCCUUAGUUGCCAGCAGUUCGGCUGGGCGCUCUAGGGAAACUGCCCGUGAUAAGCGGGAGGAAGGUGUGGAUGACGUCAAGUCCUCAUGGCCCUUACGGGUUGGGCUACACACGUGCUACAAUGGCAGUGACAAUGGGUUAAUCCCAAAAAACUGUCUCAGUUCGGAUUGGGGUCUGCAACUCGACCCCAUGAAGUCGGAAUCGCUAGUAAUCGCGUAACAGCAUGACGCGGUGAAUACGUUCCCGGGCCUUGUACACACCGCCCGUCACACCAUGGGAGUUGGGUCCACCCGAAGGCCGUGCGCCAACCAGCAAUGGGGGCAGCGGACCACGGUGAGCUCAGCGACUGGGGUGAAGUCGUAACAAGGUA
RNAcentral lists this ribosomal RNA (1424 nucleotides) under metagenome. Its description in RNAcentral is "bacterial SSU rRNA". It matches the Rfam family "Bacterial small subunit ribosomal RNA". The record is from RNAcentral.